CACUGAAAUAUGAUGGUUAAUAAGUUAUCAAUACGAUACCAAUUACGGCGAUUUUAUUCACUUCCUUUCACUACUGUCUCUGUGUUUCCUUGCUUUUUCAUCCAACAACAUCCAACAGAAACAUAUUCUGUCAUUCUUUGCGAUUUUAUUACCCACAACUUGAAUGUCCAACGAGUUCUAGGUUUUUGGUUUGUAUACAGAUUCAGAGGGGAGAGUUUACGAGAGGCACAUGAAGGCAGCAUUACAGAGGAAGUGCUCCACCUGAGAAAAGCGAAUAAAGAGCUGCCUUUGUGCAUACCAAAAAUGUUGAGCAUUUCCUUAGGCGGUGGUGAGGUUCAUACGUUUUCCCUCAAUUGGGGCAUAAUAAUAAAUAAUAAAUCGGGUCAUACUUGGCCAUUUCUCCACUUCCUUCCUGGCCUGCACAUACUGGGACUCUCCCACAUUUAGCUGCUGCAUUCUGACCCUGCUACUGUAAUGCUGGUAGAAGGGUCAAGGUGUUUGCAUGCACCAUGAGAACAUCAGUAAUGUUUAUUACUGCAGCAGAAUGUUCCUCUCAGCUGCUCCUUGGCCUGGUACUUGGCUUCUUUGCAGACCUCCACUCCAGGCUGUGAUUGCUCAUUUAACCAGUGACCUCUGAUUAACUGCAGCAAUACUUGUAGGAUUAUUCGUCAGCAAUGCCAGCUCAGGGCAGGAUGUUAAAGUUGCUGCACACUUUGUUUUUUUCCCCACCUGCUAACAGCUAAAACAACAUUUGCUUGUCCAGUCAUCAUGCAGGGUUUUAUGAAUGAGUUUCCACAACACAUUGUUUGCAAGUUCUGAUAUUUGCAUCACUUUUGAUGAGCAGAGGUCAAAGGAUAUUUUAGGGCAUAAAUUCAUUUAAGCAUUUUUAAUUUUUGCUCUCUGGUGGCACCUAUUAUGGUAUAAGAUUAUCACUAAUAGCUUUAGUAUUUGUUUCUUCUCUUUUUAGCCAUGUUAUUGGAUGGAUUGCAAUGAAAUGUUGUACAAACAUUCAUGGACUUUGAAUCCAGCGCCACCAGCAAGUUGACAUUUGUUUUUAGUGAAAUGUCUUAACAACUACUGGAUACAACUACAAGAAAUAUGGUACAGAUAUUCAUGGUGUCUGAACAGACAUUCAUCAUCCCCAGAGGAUAAAUCGUAAAGACCCGAUGGCGAUCACCUAUUCCUCAAGCGCCACUAUGAGGCUGACAUUUGUAGUUUUAAGUAAAAUGUCUCAACAACUAUUGGAUGGAUUGCUAUGACAUUUGCUACAGGCAUUCAUGUCCCCCUCAGGAUAAAUUGCAAUAACUGUGAUGAUGUGAACUUUGGCUCGCUAUCACUUAAGAAGAGAUCAGCUGAGAGUGCAGUGUAAACACACAAAACAUUGCUUUGGAUAAUUAUCAUGUCUUUCUUUAUGGGCCUUUGUGAACCUCCUGUGCUCUGCGGGUCUGCUCUUUUCCAUAAAUAUAGGAUUUGCAAAACGGCCACUGACAGCAAGUCAUGAAUUUGAUUGUCUGCACACAAAUACUUGCAGCAGCUCCCACAGAUGUUUGACACUUUUGUCAAAGCAACAAGACACAGUACCACCUCAGUAAAAACAUCUCUACAAUACCUCAUAAAAAGGUCUUGUAUCUACUAAUCUGCUCAAUAAUGUUGCUUGAGACAAAUCUUCGUUCCAAGCGUCUGUCCAACAACUCUGCCACAUCUGGAUUUGUCUGGGAAGAAUUUGAUUUUAAAGGGUGUGAAGGACUUGAAGAGGGCAAAUAUAUUUGGGCUUUUUGUACAAUACUGUGCUUUGCUCUUGGUUUUCCUCCAUCUAUUGCCAUCCUCUGGGAGAUGUUUAAGACAUACAGGAGAGGAACACCCUUCACACCAAAUGAUUUUUUCAUACUGAACCUCUCCAUCAUGGAUGUUGUCUUCUUGGCCUUCAUCCCACCUGGAUUAUUAAAUCAUUUCAUCUGGGAGAGUUGGGUGUUUGAAGCGAGUUGGAAUGGUGUUUAUGCCUUGAACACAUGUGGGAGACCCUUCCUGAUGGCUUGUAUCUGCCUGGACUGUUACCUGGCUGUGGUUCAUCCAAUCACCUACUGCAAGAGGAAAAGUCUGACUCCCAGGGUUGUGAUGGCUGGCAUUGUUUGGACUUUGACGGUUGCCAGUGGGAUUGCAUACUGUCUUUUUUACAAGUUAUUCUUCACCAUGUUUUUCACUGUGCCUUUUAUGAUAUGAUGAUUCUUUCCUUGAUUACAUUUAUUUAAUGUUGUGUUGUUCUUGCAUGCUCAUUUACUCUUAUAUGUCAUAUACUGCAUGUGUUAUAUGUUUGCACUAUAUGCUUUGUUUUUCCCUAAUAAAAAAAGAAAGUUAAAAUGAAAUAAUUGGAAACCAAACUAUGAAAAACGUAUUUCUCUUAUAUACUAAAAUCUGAUGCUGCAUGUGUACUUUGUGUAUACUUAUAUGAAUGUUGAUAUUGUGAUUAGAAAUUAAUAGUUGAAUGUUUUGCAAAGUAAAACUUUCAGUAAAGCUGUUGAACUCA
Molecule: long non-coding RNA, 2524 nt
Organism: Siniperca chuatsi (mandarin fish)
Lineage: Eukaryota; Metazoa; Chordata; Actinopteri; Centrarchiformes; Sinipercidae
Exons: 2
Source: RefSeq, a predicted model, not a curated record